GACCUGCUGGUCUUCCAUGAACCCGGGCGCGGCGAUCAGGGCGACGUGCCCGCCGGGCGCGACGGCCGACGUCACCGUGUCGACCCAGGCGCGGGACGGGUCGCCGGUGGGCGCGACGUGCCCGCCCGUUUCGGCGGCGACCAUCGCCGUAAACGGCCCGGCCUCGGUGAAGCCGCCGGGGACGUCGGCGUUGACUUCGGAGAUCCGCCAGCCGUCGGGCGUCCAGU
Molecule: unclassified non-coding RNA, 227 nt
Filed under: plant metagenome
Description: partial contains 5.8S ribosomal RNA, internal transcribed spacer 2, and large subunit ribosomal RNA
Source: RNAcentral